Molecule: ribosomal RNA, 253 nt
Filed under: uncultured bacterium
Lineage: Bacteria
Description: partial 16S ribosomal RNA
Rfam family: Bacterial small subunit ribosomal RNA
Source: RNAcentral
UACGUAGGGUGCAGGCGUUGUCCGGAUUUAUUGGGCGUAAAGAGCUCGUAGGCGGCUUGUCGCGUCGUUCGUGAAAACCCGGGGCUCAACUCCGGGCUUGCGGGCGAUACGGGCAGGCUAGAGUUCGGUAGGGGAGACUGGAAUUCCUGGUGUAGCGGUGAAAUGCGCAGAUAUCAGGAGGAACACCGGUGGCGAAGGCGGGUCUCUGGGCCGAUACUGACGCUGAGGAGCGAAAGCGUGGGGAGCGAACAGG